GACGAACGCUGGCGGCGUGCUUAACACAUGCAAGUCGAACGGAAAGGCCCUGCUUGCAGGGUACUCGAGUGGCGAACGGGUGAGUAACACGUGGGUGAUCUGCCCUGCACUUCGGGAUAAGCUUGGGAAACUGGGUCUAAUACCGGAUAGGAGCCCUCCUUCGUGUGGUGGUUGGAAAGUUUUUUUGGUGUAGGAUGAGCUCGCGGCCUAUCCGCCUGUUGGUGGGGUAAUGGCCUACCAAGGCGGCGACGGGGAGCCGGCCUGAGAGGGUGUACGGCCACAUUGGGACUGAGAUACGGCGCAGACUCCUACGGGGGGCAGCAGUGGGGAAUAUUGCACAAUGGGCGCGAGCCUGAUACAGCGACGCCGCGUGGGGGAUGAAGGCCUUCGGGUUGUAAACUCCUUUCGCUAGGGACGAAGCGUUUUUGUGACGGUACCUAGAUAAGAAGCACCGGCUAACUACGUG
RNAcentral lists this ribosomal RNA (466 nucleotides) under uncultured bacterium. RNAcentral describes it as "partial 16S ribosomal RNA". It matches the Rfam family "Bacterial small subunit ribosomal RNA", at positions 28 to 507 of the family's 1533-position model. The record is from RNAcentral.